GACGAACGCUGGCGGCGUGCUUAACACAUGCAAGUCGAACGAUGAAGCCGGAGCUUGCUCUGGUGAAUUAGUGGCGAACGGGUGAGUAACACGUGAGUAACCUGCCCUUGACUCUGGGAUAACUGCGGGAAACUGUAGCUAAUACCGGAUACGACCCUCGGAGGCAUCUCCUGGGGGUGGAAAGAAUUUCGGUCAAGGAUGGACUCGCGGCCUAUCAGCUAGUUGGUGAGGUAAAGGCUCACCAAGGCGACGACGGGUAGCCGGCCUGAGAGGGUGACCGGCCACACUGGGACUGAGACACGGCCCAGACUCCUACGGGAGGCAGCAGUGGGGAAUAUUGCACAAUGGGCGCAAGCCUGAUGCAGCAACGCCGCGUGAGGGAUGACGGCCUUCGGGUUGUAAACCUCUUUUAGCAGGGAAGAAGCGAAAGUGACGGUACCUGCAGAAAAAGCACCGGCUAACUACGUGCCAGCAGCCGCCGCGG
This 484-nucleotide ribosomal RNA is filed under the name uncultured bacterium. Its description in RNAcentral is "partial 16S ribosomal RNA". It matches the Rfam family "Bacterial small subunit ribosomal RNA", at positions 28 to 523 of the family's 1533-position model. The record is from RNAcentral.